Molecule: ribosomal RNA, 252 nt
Filed under: uncultured Clostridiaceae bacterium
Lineage: Bacteria; Bacillati; Bacillota; Clostridia; Eubacteriales; Clostridiaceae
Description: partial 16S ribosomal RNA
Rfam family: Bacterial small subunit ribosomal RNA
Source: RNAcentral
UACGUAGGGGGCAAGCGUUAUCCGGAAUUAUUGGGCGUAAAGAGUGCGUAGGUGGUUACUUAAGCGCGGGGUUUAAGGCAAUGGCUCAACCAUUGUUCGCCCUGCGAACUGGGUUACUUGAGUGCAGGAGAGGAAAGCGGAAUUCCUAGUGUAGCGGUGAAAUGCGUAGAUAUUAGGAGGAACACCAGAGGCGAAGGCGACUCACUGGACUGUAACUGACGCUGAGGCUCGAAAGCGUGGGGAGCAAACAGG